Molecule: ribosomal RNA, 484 nt
Filed under: uncultured bacterium
Lineage: Bacteria
Description: partial 16S ribosomal RNA
Rfam family: Bacterial small subunit ribosomal RNA
Source: RNAcentral
AUUGAACGCUGGCGGCAUGCCUUACACAUGCAAGUCGAACGGCAGCACGGGGGCAACCCUGGUGGCGAGUGGCGAACGGGCGAGUAAUACAUCGGAACGUGUCCUGUAGUGGUGGAUAGCCCGGCGAAAGCCGGAUUAAUACCGCAUACGCUCUACGGAGGAAAGGGGGGGAUCUUAGGACCUCCCGCUACAGGGGCGGCCGAUGGCAGAUUAGCUAGUUGGUGGGGUAAAGGCCUACCAAGGCGACGAUCUGUAGCUGGUCUGAGAGGACGACCAGCCACACUGGGACUGAGACACGGCCCAGACUCCUACGGGAGGCAGCAGUGGGGAAUUUUGGACAAUGGGGGCAAGCCUGAUCCAGCAAUGCCGCGUGUGUGAAGAAGGCCUUCGGGUUGUAAAGCACUUUUGUCCGGAAAGAAAACGACGUGGUUAAUACCCGUGGCGGAUGACGGUACCGGAAGAAUAAGCACCGGCUAACUACGUG